Molecule: transfer RNA, 51 nt
Filed under: Leptoscyphus porphyrius
Lineage: Eukaryota; Viridiplantae; Streptophyta; Jungermanniopsida; Jungermanniales; Lophocoleaceae
Description: partial tRNA-Leu
Source: RNAcentral
AAAAUCCGUUGGGCUUUUUAAACCGUGAGGGUUCAAGUCCCUCUACCCCCA